AUUGAACGCUGGCGGCAGGCCUAACACAUGCAAGUCGAACGGUAACAGGCAGCAGCUUGCUGGUUUGCUGACGAGUGGCGGACGGGUGAGUAAUGUCUGGGCAACUGCUCGCUGGAGGGGGAUAACUACUGGAAACGGUAGCUAAUACCGCAUAACGUCGCAAGACCAAAGAGGGGGAGCUUAUGGCCUCUUGUCAUCGGAUGUGCCCAGAUGGGAUUCGCUAGUAGGUGGGGUAACGGCUCACCUAGUCGAAGAGCUGUCUCUGGUGUGAGAGGAUGACCGCCCGCACUGGAAGGGAGACACGGUCAAGACGCCUACGGGAGGCAGCAGUGGGGAAUAUGGGACAAUGGGCGCAAGCCUGAUGCAGUCAUGCCGCGUGUAUGAAGAAGGCCUUCGGGUUGUAAAGUACUUUCAGCGGGGAGGAAGGGAGUAAGGUUAAUACCUUGGCUCAUUGACGUUACCCGGAGAAGAAGCACCGGCUAACUCCGUG
This 490-nucleotide ribosomal RNA is filed under the name uncultured bacterium. Its description in RNAcentral is "partial 16S ribosomal RNA". It matches the Rfam family "Bacterial small subunit ribosomal RNA", at positions 30 to 507 of the family's 1533-position model. The record is from RNAcentral.